GACGAACCGUCCGAACGUUAUUCGGAAUCACUGGGCUUAAAGGGUGCGUAGGCGGCGCGGAAAGUUGGGUGUGAAAUCCCUCGGCUUAACCGAGGAACGGCGCCCAAAACUACCGUGCUCGAGGGAGAUAGAGGUGAGCGGAACUUAGGGUGGAGCGGUGAAAUGCGUUGAUAUCCUAAGGAACACCGGUGGCGAAAGCGGCUCACUGGAUCUCUUCUGACGCUGAUGCACGAAAGCUAGGGUAGCGAACGGG
RNAcentral lists this ribosomal RNA (253 nucleotides) under uncultured bacterium. RNAcentral describes it as "partial 16S ribosomal RNA". It matches the Rfam family "Bacterial small subunit ribosomal RNA", at positions 524 to 776 of the family's 1533-position model. RNAcentral also lists the same sequence under 1 other name. The record is from RNAcentral.